Molecule: ribosomal RNA, 460 nt
Filed under: uncultured bacterium
Lineage: Bacteria
Description: partial 16S ribosomal RNA
Rfam family: Bacterial small subunit ribosomal RNA
Source: RNAcentral
CCUACGGGUGGCAGCAGUGAGGAAUAUUGGUCAAUGGACGCAAGUCUGAACCAGCCAUGCCGCGUGCAGGAAGACGGCUCUAUGAGUUGUAAACUGCUUUUGUACGAGGGUAAACGCAGAUACGCGUAUCUGUCUGAAAGUAUCGUACGAAUAAGGAUCGGCUAACUCCGUGCCAGCAGCCGCGGUAAUACGGAGGAUUCAAGCGUUAUCCGGAUUUAUUGGGUUUAAAGGGUGCGCAGGCGGUCGGAUAAGUUAGAGGUGAAAUCCCGAGGCUCAACGUCGGAAUUGCCUCUGAUACUGUUCGGCUAGAGAGUAGGUGCGGGAGGCGGAAUGUAGGGUGUAGCGGUGAAAUGCUUAGAGAUCAUACAGAACACCGAUUGCGAAGGCAGCUUACCAAGCUACUUCUGACGUUGAGGCACGAAAGCGUGGGGAGCGAACAGGAGUAGAUACCCCUGUAGUC